GAUGAAGAACGCAGCGAAAUGCGAUAAGUAAUGUGAAUUGCAGAAUUCAGUGAAUCAUCGAAUCUUUGAACGCACAUUGCGCCCGCUAGUAUUCUGGCGGGCAUGCCUGUUCGAGCGUCAUUUCAACCCUCAGGCCCCCAGUGCCUGGCGUUGGGGAUCGGCCGCUGGCGUCCUUCGGGGCGCCUGGCCGGCCCCGAAAUCUAGUGGCGGUCUCGCUGUAGUCCUCCUCUGCGUAGUAGCACAACCUCGCAGUUGGAACUCGGGUGGCCAUGCCGUUAAACACCCCACUUCUGAAAGUUGACCUCGGAUCAGGUAGGAAUACCCGCUGAACUUAAGCAUAUCAAUAAGCGGAGGA
This 355-nucleotide unclassified non-coding RNA is filed under the name soil metagenome. Its description in RNAcentral is "partial contains 5.8S ribosomal RNA, internal transcribed spacer 2, and large subunit ribosomal RNA". The stretch from base 1 to 120 matches the Rfam family "5.8S ribosomal RNA", at positions 35 to 154 of the family's 154-position model. The record is from RNAcentral.